UACGUAGGUGGCAAGCGUUGUCCGGAUUUACUGGGCGUAAAGCGCACGCAGGCGGUCGUGCGCGUGGGGUGUGAAAUCUGGCCGCUUAACGGCCAGGCGCCAUCCCAUACGGCACGACUGGAGGGCUGCAGAGGUCGAUGGAAUUGCCGGUGUAGUGGUGAAAUGCGUAGAGAUCGGCAGGAACACCCCGGGGGAAACCAGUCGACUGGGCAGCACCUGACGCUGAGAGACGAAAGCUAGGGGAGCGAAUGGG
This 253-nucleotide ribosomal RNA is filed under the name uncultured bacterium. Its description in RNAcentral is "partial 16S ribosomal RNA". It matches the Rfam family "Bacterial small subunit ribosomal RNA", at positions 524 to 776 of the family's 1533-position model. The record is from RNAcentral.